AGAGUUUGAUCCUGGCUCAGGAUGAACGCUAGCGGCAGGCUUAACACAUGCAAGUCGAGGGGCAGCGCGGGGCGGCAACGUCCUGGCGGCGACCGGCGGAAGGGUGCGUAACGCGUGAGCGACAUGCCCGUUGCCCGGGGACAACCGGUGGAAACGCCGACUAAUCCCCGAUGGAACGGAGGCCCUCAUGGGUCUCUGUUGAAAGUUACGGCGGCGACGGAUUGGCUCGCGUCCGAUUAGCUAGUUGGCGGGGCAACGGCCCACCAAGGCGACGAUGGUUAGCCGGCCUGAGAGGGCGGCCGGCCACAUUGGAACUGAGACACGGUCCAGACUCCUACGGGAGGCAGCAGUGGGGAAUAUUGCGCAAUGGGGGAGACCCUGACGCAGCAAUGCCGCGUGAGCGAAGAAGGGACUCGUUCCGUAAAGCUCUGUCGCCGGGGAAGACAAUGACGGUACCCGGCCAGGAGCCCCAGCCAACCACGUGCCAGCAGCUGCGGUAAGACGUGGGGGGCAAGCGUUGUCCGGAAUCAUUGGGCGUAAAGGGCGCGCAGGCGGCCGUUUAGGCCGCUGGUGAAACCGCCGGGCCCAACCCGGCGGCUGCCGGCGGAACCGGGCGGCUCGAGUGCCAGAGAGGCAGGCGGAAUUCCUGGUGUAGCGGUGAAAUGCGCAGAGAUCAGGAGGAACACCGGAGGCGAAGGCGGCCUGCUGGCUGGCGACUGACGCUCAGGCGCGAAAGCGUGGGGAGCGAACAGGAUUAGAUACCCUGGUAGUCCACGCCGUAAACGAUGGACGUUAGGCCUUGGGAGUAGUUCCAGGGCCGAAGCCAACGCGGUAAACGUCCCGCCUGGGGAGUACGGCCGCAGGGCUGAAACUCAAAGGAAUUGACGGGGACCCGCACAAGCAGCGGAGCAUGUGGUUUAAUUCGAAGCAACGCGAAGAACCUUACCAGGCCUUGACAUGGGGAGGGGGCCGCCGGAGACGGCGGCGCCGGAUUUCCGGCCUUCCCACAGGUGGUGCAUGGUUGUCGUCAGCUCGUGUCGUGAGAUGUUGGGUUAAGUCCCGCAACGAGCGCAACCCCCGCCCCUGGUUGCCAGCAGGUUAAGCUGGGCACUCCAGGGGGACCGCCGCAGCCAAUGCGGAGGAGGGCGGGGACGACGUCAAAUCAUCAUGCCCCUUACGGCCUGGGCGACACACGUGCUACAAUGGCCGGGCCAGAGGGAAGCGAGGGGGCGACCCGGAGCCAAUCCCAAAAAGCCGGCCCCAGUUCGGAUUGCAGGCUGCAACCCGCCUGCAUGAAGCCGGAGUUGCUAGUAAUCGCGGAUCAGCACGCCGCGGUGAAUGCGUUCCNCGGGUCUUGCACUCACCGCCCGUCA
This 1373-nucleotide ribosomal RNA is filed under the name uncultured bacterium. RNAcentral's name for it is "bacterial SSU rRNA". It matches the Rfam family "Bacterial small subunit ribosomal RNA". The record is from RNAcentral.